Molecule: long non-coding RNA, 370 nt
Filed under: Hordeum vulgare
Lineage: Eukaryota; Viridiplantae; Streptophyta; Magnoliopsida; Poales; Poaceae
Description: long non-coding RNA (HVUL_LNC001644)
Source: RNAcentral
GGAGUCUCUUCUUGAGAUGUCCUUGUUCAAUAACAUCACAUUAUGCUAUUGUUGUGAAGUUUAUGUUUCAGGUUCUCAUCAAAGUUUUCAUGAAGAAUUUCCUGAAGACUGGUCGUUUGGAAUGAUGGCACUACCCGGACAAUCGUGAGAUGAUUCUAUGUGGUCAAGCGUAGAUUAGGGGGAGUGUUAAGAUUUAUUACAUAAAUGUAUUAGGGAAUCUCCUCCUCUCCCAAACCGUCGGACGGUUCUCUUCCUCAACCGACGCUUCUCCCGCUUGUCUAGAACCGACGCCUCUCUGAACCGUCGUGUUCCUCUGGGUCAUAUAUAUUGCACCCUGUAACCAUCGAUGUAAUCACUCAAUCAUUCGUUG